RNAcentral lists this ribosomal RNA (226 nucleotides) under uncultured bacterium. RNAcentral's name for it is "partial 16S ribosomal RNA". It matches the Rfam family "Bacterial small subunit ribosomal RNA", at positions 538 to 763 of the family's 1533-position model. The record is from RNAcentral.
GCGUUGUUCGGAAUUAUUGGGCGUAAAGGGUGCGUAGGCGGUUUGACAAGUCUUAUGUGAAAUCUUCGGGCUCAACCCGAAGCCUGCAUGGGAAACUGUCGGGCUUGAGUAUGGGAGAGGUGAGUGGAGUUUCCGGUGUAGCGGUGAAAUGCGUAGAUAUCGGAAGGAACACCUGUGGCGAAAGCGGCUCACUGGACCAUAACUGACACUGAGGCGCGACAGCGUG